Molecule: long non-coding RNA, 1241 nt
Filed under: Heterocephalus glaber (naked mole-rat)
Lineage: Eukaryota; Metazoa; Chordata; Mammalia; Rodentia; Bathyergidae
Description: lncRNA (ENSHGLG00100034248.1)
Source: RNAcentral
AGAGAAAAGAGGUAGUGAGCUGGUGUUUCAGGAUGUGAGGGCCCGCAGGAGAAGACGGGCUCACUCUGCUGCCUGCCCACCAUCGUGCACUCUCUGGCCGGCUCUACCCACAGUCCCCAUGGUGGGCUGCCCCCACGGCGGGGACCCGUGAUCAGCAGCGGCAUGCCAGGGAAACCCAAGCACCUGGGUGUCCCCAACGGGCGCAUGACUCUUCCAGAUAUCCUUGCUAGGACCCUGAUGCAACCCAGGGGAAUGAGACCAGAGCAAAGAGGACACAGGCUUCUGGUCCAGGAUGUAAGUUGGACAACCUACUACUGGCCUCAUCUUGAGCUGCCUGCAUCUCAGAGUAGCAGGGAGACCUGCUAUGCUCCUGGCCCCGGUCCAUCUCCACUAUGUCCCAAGCCCCAUCUUAUUUGGCCUCUUCCCUCCCCUCCUCAUCCUGUACCCUGGGUGCACAAGGUCAGGUCAGGGGCUGCUUACUCUAGCUAGACCUGCUCUGGGGGGAUUCCUGCUAGAACUAGUGUUCUUUGGACAGCGUGGGAUGGGUCAGCAAAAUCAGGCCAGGUUGAACAGCUCCUGUUUAUUUCUCAGCCUCCAGGAAGAGCAGAGGUAGCUAAAUACUAGGGUGCUGUCACUUCACCCUCUACAGCCUCUCCCUGGCUGCUCAACUCCUGAGCCAAGCUGCCAUCGGAGGGUCUGGCUCAUCUCAUUCAUUUAGCAGAUGGGGCAGGGUCCUGGAUCACUUGGCAGCGGCCCUCUGAACAAGCUCAGGAAGGACAGAUAAUGUUCUGCUCCCCCCACUAGGUCCCAGUCUAGCACCAUGAGACAAGCCAGUAGAUUCAGAGAAACCUGGUCCCAGUCCCAACUGGGUUAUCCCUUACUAUUAGGCAUCCUCCUCUGUAAAAUGAGGAGAUUGGAAUGGAUCACAGUCUUAUUGAGAUGACUAAAUGGGAUGAUGAAUAAGAGGUCCUUGACCCCUUGUGAGGGCUGCACAAAUACCAGCCCAAUACUCCCUGCACUUUCAGCCCAUCUUCAAAGACCUCCUGCCUCACCAAGAAGCUGAGCCACCCCUGUCCCCACUCCUACCUCCAAUUCCCAAGACCUAUCUCCAUCUCUCCUUCCAGGACCCUUUUAUUGCCCAGCUCCAGGCUAGCAAGUCCUCCAAAGCCACCUCAUCAAAGCCCCCCAUCUCACUGUCUGUACCACCAACCUAACUUUGAAAGUUAAGAAGAACUCCUGUG